ACUUAAGUAGUUUAAAUAAAAAUAUAGUAUUGUGGCUACUAAGACGUGGUGUAUGUCCUUAGGUU
This 65-nucleotide transfer RNA is filed under the name Deltocephalinae sp. EMHAU-2015-Zz052318. RNAcentral's name for it is "tRNA-His". Lineage: Eukaryota; Metazoa; Arthropoda; Insecta; Hemiptera; Cicadellidae. The record is from RNAcentral.